RNAcentral lists this long non-coding RNA (681 nucleotides) under Chinchilla lanigera (long-tailed chinchilla). RNAcentral describes it as "lncRNA (ENSCLAG00000025587.1)". The record is from RNAcentral. Lineage: Eukaryota; Metazoa; Chordata; Mammalia; Rodentia; Chinchillidae.
GUUAUUGUUCAAAAUUAUUCUCGGCGGAGGACAUUUAUGUAGCAUCAGAGCACCAUGAUGUUCUAUCUUUCAAAGUCUUGGUUUUCCCACCUGCAGAAACUGAAAGUCUUCUUGUUUCUUUGGUCGUACUAGGAGUUUGUCCUGAAAGCAAAAGCAAGAGGAAAAAAACCAGGGUGCUUAGACAAGAACUGCAUCCUCACACGGCUUCAGGCGCUAUGAGGUGGCUGUACAAUGUGUGUUCCUGGAGUGUAAAAUAUAAAAAUAAAGUUGUUUGCUUAAGACUCUAGAUGUUCCAGACUUCUCAUCUGACAGUAAGAGUUGACUUUUUCUCUCUCAAAAUAUGUUGAUGAGGUCCAAUCGUAGGAACAUUAAGGGGAAAAAGUCCUCUUCUCCUUUCUUCCUUUGUCAGCCAGCCCACAGGAUCUUCCACCUCCUCCCCUGCUAGAGUUUCCAAGGCUCAUGUGGGCAUCUGCAGCACGGAAAGCAGAUGGCAGUUUUCUUGAUUCUGCUUGUUCUACUUUAACAGCCUCUUGACAAAAUGCUCCCCAGAAGAGGAUGCUGCAGGUGGGGUCAGCAUGAGAAAACAGCAGAAUCAGGUCAUCUGAGAACAAGAGAGUGCCGAAUACCAAAUAGAUAUGAAGACAGCUGAAAGGUAAAGCUCAGGAUGGAGACUUUAACGGG